Molecule: transfer RNA, 61 nt
Filed under: Garjajewia cabanisii
Lineage: Eukaryota; Metazoa; Arthropoda; Malacostraca; Amphipoda; Acanthogammaridae
Description: tRNA-Gly
Source: RNAcentral
UAAGUCUUAAGUUAUACAAACUAUGAGCCUUCCAAGCUUAAAAAAAGAAAAUUAGACUUAA